This 180-nucleotide ribosomal RNA is filed under the name uncultured bacterium. Its description in RNAcentral is "partial 16S ribosomal RNA". It matches the Rfam family "Bacterial small subunit ribosomal RNA", at positions 1315 to 1500 of the family's 1533-position model. The record is from RNAcentral.
CCUGCAUGAAGUUGGAUUCGCUAGUAAUCGCGCAUCAGCCAUGGCGCGGUGAAUACGUUCCCGGGCCUUGUACACACCGCCCGUCAAGCCAUGAAAGUCGGGGGGUGCUUGAAGUACGCUUACCGUAAGGGGCGUCCUAAGGCAAAACCGAUAAUUGGGGCUAAGUCGUAACAAGGUACC